GCAAACUUGGUCAUUUAGAGGAAGUAAAAGUCGUAACAAGGUUUCCGUAGGUGAACCUGCGGAAGGAUCAUUACCAAUUUAUCCUUAUGGGUAAAUUUUAUCCAUAUCCACCUUAUGUGCAUCAUUGAAGCGUUUGUUGGCAGGUAAAGUUUAAAUACCUUGCGUAUUUGAUCGGGCUGAGAACAAAGAUUGCUCUCGCGGCCUGCCAAUUUUUAUGUCUAAACUCGUCUAUAUGUAUACUAUCGACUGAACUAUCACAAAUUAAUAAACACAACUUUCAACAACGGAUCUCUUGGCUCUCGCAUCGAUGAAGAACGCAGC
This 321-nucleotide unclassified non-coding RNA is filed under the name uncultured fungus. Its description in RNAcentral is "partial contains small subunit ribosomal RNA, internal transcribed spacer 1, and 5.8S ribosomal RNA". The stretch from base 1 to 73 matches the Rfam family "Eukaryotic small subunit ribosomal RNA", at positions 1759 to 1831 of the family's 1831-position model. Lineage: Eukaryota; Fungi. The record is from RNAcentral.